GUUUGGCACGUAAAAUAUCAAAUUGCGUAGGUCCUCCGCCAACUUGCAUAUAAUGGAAAACGUGUGCGCCUAGAAAGAAAGAUACAACACCCCAAGGUCAAAAUUGUCCAUCCGCCGCCACAAGCAAAUUUCUUUUGAUGAUGUUAACAGGUCGGCCUUGCGUAGGAAGUAGGAACAAUAUAUGGUCGGCAAGAAAGAUCAACCCAUGAAGUUAAACCAACAACUCUCCUCAAAUUUCCAAGAAAUUUCAUAUUCCUGUAAAUAGAAUUCGAGAAAUGGGAUAACCACCGACUCUGUCGUAGAAGUGGAAUAGCAUACAGUUGGGCCGGUCCACACCAGGCAAAUACAACAGCAGCCGAAAGACCCAAAUUAUGUACUGGAUAAAGAACCAGCAGGCCGAUGUAUGAAGCUCAGCGGUCAAGACCCUGAACUCUUUAAGGUGUGUCGAUGCUUGUGUUCUUGAAGUUACCACUGACAUCACAAUAGUCCUGCUUCGAAUAGAUUUCGCCUUCUCAAAGUCUCAUCUACCAG
Sesamum indicum (sesame) is the source of this 531-nucleotide non-coding RNA. The record is from RefSeq and is a predicted model, not a curated record. Lineage: Eukaryota; Viridiplantae; Streptophyta; Magnoliopsida; Lamiales; Pedaliaceae.